GAUGAACGCUGGCGGCGUGCCUAAUACAUGCAAGUCGAGCGAACAGACGAGGAGCUUGCUCCUCUGACGUUAGCGGCGGACGGGUGAGUAACACGUGGAUAACCUAUCUAUAAGACUGGGAUAACUUCGGGAAACCGGAGCUAAUACCGGAUAAUAUAUUGAACCGCAUGGUUCAAUAGUGAAAGACGGUUUUGCGGUCACUUAUAGAUGGAUCCGCGCCGCAUUAGCUAGUUGGUAAGGUAACGGCUUACCAAGGCAACGAUGCGUAGCCGACCUGAGAGGGUGAUCGGCCACACUGGAACUGAGACACGGUCCAGACUCCUACGGGAGGCAGCAGUAGGGAAUCUUCGGCAAUGGGCGAAAGCCUGACGGAGCAACGCCGCGUGAGUGAUGAAGGUCUUCGGAUCGUAAAACUCUGUUAUUAGGGAAGAACAAAUGUGUAAGUAACUAUGCACGUCUUGACGGUACCUAAUCAGAAAGCCACGGCUAACUACGUG
This 497-nucleotide ribosomal RNA is filed under the name uncultured bacterium. Its description in RNAcentral is "partial 16S ribosomal RNA". It matches the Rfam family "Bacterial small subunit ribosomal RNA", at positions 28 to 507 of the family's 1533-position model. The record is from RNAcentral.